AGAACGAACGCUGGCGGCAGGCCUAACACAUGCAAGUCGAACGCCCGUAGCAAUACGGGAGUGGCAGACGGGUGAGUAACGCGUGGGAACGUGCCCUUCGGUUCGGAAUAACUCAGGGAAACUUGAGCUAAUACCGGAUACGUCCGUAAGGAGAAAGAUUUAUUGCCGAAGGAUCGGCCCGCGUCGGAUUAGCUAGUUGGUGGGGUAAUGGCCCACCAAGGCGACGAUCCGUAGCUGGUCUGAGAGGAUGAUCAGCCACACUGGGACUGAGACACGGCCCAGACUCCUACGGGAGGCAGCAGUGGGGAAUAUUGGACAAUGGGCGAAAGCCUGAUCCAGCCAUGCCGCGUGAGUGAAGAAGGCCUUAGGGUUGUAAAGCUCUUUCAGCGGGGAAGAUAAUGACGGUACCCGCAGAAGAAGCCCCGGCUAACUUCGUGCCAGCAGCCGC
Molecule: ribosomal RNA, 448 nt
Filed under: uncultured bacterium
Lineage: Bacteria
Description: SSU rRNA
Rfam family: Bacterial small subunit ribosomal RNA
Source: RNAcentral